This 292-nucleotide ribosomal RNA is filed under the name uncultured bacterium. RNAcentral's name for it is "partial 16S ribosomal RNA". It matches the Rfam family "Bacterial small subunit ribosomal RNA", at positions 505 to 796 of the family's 1533-position model. The record is from RNAcentral.
GUGCCAGCCGCCGCGGUAAUACGAAGGGUGCAAGCGUUACUCGGAAUUACUGGGCGUAAAGCGUGCGUAGGUGGUUUGUUAAGUCUGAUGUGAAAGCCCUGGGCUCAACCUGGGAAUGGCAUUGGAUACUGGCGAGCUAGAGUGCGGUAGAGGGUAGUGGAAUUCCCGGUGUAGCAGUGAAAUGCGUAGAGAUCGGGAGGAACAUCUGUGGCGAAGGCGACUACCUGGACCAGCACUGACACUGAGGCACGAAAGCGUGGGGAGCAAACAGGAUUAGAAACCCCCGUAGUCC